GCAACGCUUGGGGAUCCGGCGGCAGCUCAGAUCUCCAGGUGUCCCGAGGCCUCGCUGACGCCGGAGGGGGUUCUACCGAGACUCAGUUGGUUCUCCUUAGACUGCCGAUUGGCUGAUGGCCCCGUCAAUCUCCAGGGGAAAGAACUAGUUUUCAGACACUUGGGGAAAGUAUUACUUCUAGCCCCUUCUUGCUGAAAUGAAGGGUUCUGGAGAAAACCCAAGAGAUUAGGUGAAGCAGAAGCCUGAGAACCGUGUUUGGGGACCCACCACGGAAAAGCAUUGUAUGAAAUAAUGACACUCUCUGACUUCCCUCCUUUGGCUACUCGGCUCUGCUCUCGGCAAGCCUUGCAUCCACAGAGCCACUGAAUGGCAAGCAAUGAUUCUAGCCCAACGUUUGUAAACUUGAGG
Molecule: long non-coding RNA, 408 nt
Organism: Mesoplodon densirostris (Blainville's beaked whale)
Lineage: Eukaryota; Metazoa; Chordata; Mammalia; Artiodactyla; Ziphiidae
Exons: 3
Source: RefSeq, a predicted model, not a curated record